RNAcentral lists this ribosomal RNA (301 nucleotides) under uncultured bacterium. RNAcentral describes it as "partial 16S ribosomal RNA". It matches the Rfam family "Bacterial small subunit ribosomal RNA", at positions 509 to 809 of the family's 1533-position model. The record is from RNAcentral.
CAGUCGCCACGGGAAUACGUAGGGUGCAAGCGUUAAUCGGAAUUACUGGGCGUAAAGCGUGCGCAGGCGGUUAUAUAAGACAGAUGUGAAAUCCCCGGGCUCAACCUGGGAACUGCAUUUGUGACUGUAUAGCUAGAGUACGGCAGAGGGGGAUGGAAUUCCGCGUGUAGCAGUGAAAUGCGUAGAUAUGCGGAGGAACACCGAUGGCGAAGGCAAUCCCCUGGGCCUGUACUGACGCUCAUGCACGAAAGCGUGGGGAGCAAACAGGAUUAGAUACCCCAGUAGUCCCUGUCUCUUAUCC